GAGGGAAGUAUGGGGUAGUACGAGAGGAACUCCCAUGCCAUGCCUCUGGUUUCUGGAGUUUGUCGAACGGCAAGUGCUCCGACGCUAUCGCACGGUGGUUCUCGGCUGAACGCCUCUAAGCCAGAAGCCAAUCCCAAGA
This 139-nucleotide non-coding RNA is filed under the name Trypanosoma theileri. RNAcentral's name for it is "Eukaryotic large subunit ribosomal RNA". It matches the Rfam family "Eukaryotic large subunit ribosomal RNA", at positions 3015 to 3153 of the family's 3401-position model. The record is from Rfam by way of RNAcentral. Lineage: Eukaryota; Euglenozoa; Kinetoplastea; Trypanosomatida; Trypanosomatidae.